AACGAACGCUGGCGGCGUGUUUAAGACAUGCAAGUCGCACGGGAUAAGACAUGUAGUAAUACUUGUUUUAUUUAGUGGCGCACGGGUGAGUAACACGUGAAUUACAUGCCCUAUAGUGGGGAAUAGCCCAGGGAAACUUGGAUUAAUACCCCAUGGUAUCGAAAGAUUAAAGGUGGCCGCAAGGCUGUCGCUAUAGGAUUGGUUCGCGCCCUAUCAGCUUGUUGGUGAGGUAACGGCUCACCAAGGCAAUGACGGGUACCUGGUCUGAGAGGAGGGUCAGGCACACUGGAACUGAGACACGGUCCAGACACCUACGGGUGGCAGCAGUCGAGAAUAAUUCACAAUGGGGGCAACCCUGAUGGUGCAACGCCGCGUGGAGGAUGACGGUCUUCGGAUUGUAAACUCCUGUCAUCUGGGAGAAAGACCUGACGGUAAAUAGCCGGCAGGGUUGAUAGUACCAGAAGAGGAAGGGACGGCUAACUUCGUGCCAGCAGCCGCGGUAA
Molecule: ribosomal RNA, 503 nt
Filed under: uncultured bacterium
Lineage: Bacteria
Description: partial 16S ribosomal RNA
Rfam family: Bacterial small subunit ribosomal RNA
Source: RNAcentral